This 669-nucleotide ribosomal RNA is filed under the name uncultured Tulasnellaceae. RNAcentral describes it as "eukaryotic LSU rRNA". The stretch from base 210 to 371 matches the Rfam family "5.8S ribosomal RNA". The record is from RNAcentral. Lineage: Eukaryota; Fungi; Basidiomycota; Agaricomycetes; Cantharellales; Tulasnellaceae.
UAACUYGGNCAUUUAGAGGAAGUACAAGUCGUAACAAGGUUUCCGUAGGUGAACCUGCGGAAGGAUCAUAGUUGUCUGAAUAAGGGAGCGCAGGUCGCUCCCGUUUCACAACCCCAUUUCUAUUGGACCGGCNGUGUUCACUUCAUUGUGACCUGUCCGAUCAGCCAUGCGUAUCUUGGACAUUACUCUUAAAAUAAAACAGUUAACACAACUGGUAGCAUUGGAUCCCUUGGCACGCCAUUCGAUGAAGAACGUUGCAAACUGCGAUAAGUGAUGUGAAAUGCGAGUCCAAAACUUAUACGUGAAUCAUCGAAUCUUUGAACGCAUUGCAUCGAGCUUUGCCCAAGCACGAUAUGCCCCAUUGAGCGUCCUUAAGUCUUUAGGAAUGUUUAUUCAUUUCUAAGUUCGAGUUUCAUGGCAUCACUGUCACGUUACUUUAGAUGCAUUACGCGUCGCACUACNGUUGCGCUCCUUGUUGUACACUUCAAGGCGCUUCCUAAUGCGUUAUCGCACUUANGCUCAANGCCUUUGGCUGAGAGCAGAACCGCGUUCCGUCCUCGGAUGGUCCGCCCUUCCUUGACUUAACCUCACGGGGGCAAGACGACCCGCUAGACUUAAGCAUAUUAAUCAGCGGAGGAAAAGAAACUAACAAGGAUUCCCCUAGUAACU